GACGAACGCUGGCGGCGUGCCUAAUACAUGCAAGUUGAGCGAUGAAGAUUGGUGCUUGCACCAAUUUGAAGAGCAGCGAACGGGUGAGUAACGCGUGGGGAAUCUGCCUUUGAGCGGGGGACAACAUUUGGAAACGAAUGCUAAUACCGCAUAACAACUUUAAACAUAAGUUUUAAGUUUGAAAGAUGCAAUUGCAUCACUCAAAGAUGAUCCCGCGUUGUAUUAUCUAGUUGGUGAGGUAAAGGCUCACCAAGGCGAUGAUACAUAGCCGACCUGAGAGGGUGAUCGGCCACAUUGGGACUGAGACACGGCCCAAACUCCUACGGGAGGCAGCAGUAGGGAAUCUUCGGCAAUGGACGAAAGUCUGACCGAGCAACGCCGCGUGAGGGAAGAAGGGUUUCGGAUCGUAAAACUCUGUUGGUAGAGAAGAACGUUGGUGAGAGUGGAAAGCUCAUCAAGUGACGGUAACUACCCAGAAAGGGACGGCUAACUACGUG
RNAcentral lists this ribosomal RNA (497 nucleotides) under uncultured bacterium. RNAcentral describes it as "partial 16S ribosomal RNA". It matches the Rfam family "Bacterial small subunit ribosomal RNA", at positions 28 to 507 of the family's 1533-position model. The record is from RNAcentral.